This 65-nucleotide transfer RNA is filed under the name Marmota monax (woodchuck). Its description in RNAcentral is "tRNA.Ala". Lineage: Eukaryota; Metazoa; Chordata; Mammalia; Rodentia; Sciuridae. The record is from RNAcentral.
GAUAUAGCUCAGUGGUAGAGAGUUUGCCUAGCAUGCACAAGGACCUGGGUUCAAUGCCCAGAACA